AAUUCUCAAACUCUGAUUGAUUUGUUUCAAUCGGAGCUUUGGAUUUGGAGCGUGCCGGCGUCAAGUCGGCUCCUCUUGAAUGCAUCAGCGGAAUCCCAUUCAUUUCGGACGUCAGUGUGAUAAUCAUGUUGCGCUGUCUUUGCGAUCUUGAAAGCCCGCUCACAAUGGUCUUCGGACAAACCUCACAUAUCAU
RNAcentral lists this unclassified non-coding RNA (193 nucleotides) under uncultured Piloderma. RNAcentral's name for it is "partial internal transcribed spacer 2". The record is from RNAcentral. Lineage: Eukaryota; Fungi; Basidiomycota; Agaricomycetes; Atheliales; Atheliaceae.